Molecule: ribosomal RNA, 495 nt
Filed under: uncultured bacterium
Lineage: Bacteria
Description: partial 16S ribosomal RNA
Rfam family: Bacterial small subunit ribosomal RNA
Source: RNAcentral
GAUGAACGCUAGCGGGAGGCCUAACACAUGCAAGCCGAGCGGUAUUUCUUCUUCGGGAGAGAGAGAGCGGCGUACGGGUGCGGAACACGUGUGCAACCUGCCUUUAUCUAGAGGAUAGCCUUUCGAAAGGAAGAUUAAUACUCUAUAAUAUCUUAAUUGGCAUCAAUUGAUAUUGAAAACUCCGGUGGAUAGAGAUGGGCACGCGCAAGAUUAGCUAGUUGGUUAGGUAACGGCUCACCAAGGCAAUGAUCUUUAGGGGGCCUGAGAGGGUGAUCCCCCACACUGGUACUGAGACACGGACCAGACUCCUACAGGAGGGAGCAGUAAGGAAUAUUGGUCAAUGGGUGCAAGCCUGAACCAGCCAUCCCGCGUGAAGGAUUAAGGUCCUAUGGAUUGUAAACUUCUUUCGUAUAGGGAUAAACCUACCCUCGUGAGGGUAGCUGAAGGUACUAUACGAAUAAGCACCGGCUAACUCCGUGCCAGCAGCCGCGGUAA